GUUGCCAUCGCGUCUCCGCCUGCAGCGUCUGUCCGAUCUUUCCUGUUUCCCCCACUCCAUUCCCUUCCUAUCCAUCCCACAGCCAGAGGAAGGGGAUGGCCUCCUUGGGCGGCCCCACCUUUACCCUACCCCAGGUGCAGACAUCUGGAGGAGAGAGUCGGAGAGCAGAAACCACUUGGCUCCCAGACAAUUCCCCUACAGGCUUUGGGCCUGG
This 214-nucleotide small RNA is filed under the name Pan troglodytes (chimpanzee). RNAcentral describes it as "processed transcript". The record is from RNAcentral. Lineage: Eukaryota; Metazoa; Chordata; Mammalia; Primates; Hominidae.